AUUGAACGCUGGCGGCAGGCCUAACACAUGCAAGUCGAGCGGAUGAAGGGAGCUUGCUCCUGGAUUCAGCGGCGGACGGGUGAGUAAUGCCUAGGAAUCUGCCUGGUAGUGGGGGAUAACGUCCGGAAACGGGCGCUAAUACCGCAUACGUCCUGAGGGAGAAAGUGGGGGAUCUUCGGACCUCACGCUCUCAGAUGAGCCUAGGUGGGAUUAGCUAGUUGGUGGGGUAAAGGCCUACCAAGGCGACGAUCCGUAACUGGUCUGAGAGGAUGAUCAGUCACACUGGAACUGAGACACGGUCCAGACUCCUACGGGAGGCAGCAGUGGGGAAUAUUGGACAAUGGGCGAAAGCCUGAUCCAGCCAUGCCGCGUGUGUGAAGAAGGUCUUCGGAUUGUAAAGCACUUUAAGUUGGGAGGAAGGGCAGUAAGUUAAUACCUUGCUGUUUUGACGUUACCAACAGAAUAAGCACCGGCUAACUUCGUG
Molecule: ribosomal RNA, 484 nt
Filed under: uncultured bacterium
Lineage: Bacteria
Description: partial 16S ribosomal RNA
Rfam family: Bacterial small subunit ribosomal RNA
Source: RNAcentral